Molecule: ribosomal RNA, 171 nt
Filed under: uncultured bacterium
Lineage: Bacteria
Description: partial 16S ribosomal RNA
Rfam family: Bacterial small subunit ribosomal RNA
Source: RNAcentral
CCUACGGGUGGCUGCAGUGGGGAAUAUUGCACAAUGGGCGAAAGCCUGAUGCAGCAACGCCGCGUGAGCGAUGAAGGCCUUCGGGUCGUAAAGCUCUGUCCUCAAGGAAGAUAAUGACGGUACUUGAGGAGGAAGCCCCGGCUAACUACGUGCCAGCAGCCGCGGUAAUAC